GAGAACGUGGUGUAACUGGAAAACAUCUCAGCUUACGAACCUGAAGAGUGAAGGUUCAAAUCCUUCCGUUCUCGCCA
This 77-nucleotide transfer RNA is filed under the name Leptolyngbya sp. Its description in RNAcentral is "tRNA-Arg". It matches the Rfam family "tRNA". Rfam says of the family: Transfer RNA (tRNA) molecules are approximately 80 nucleotides in length. The record is from RNAcentral. Lineage: Bacteria; Bacillati; Cyanobacteriota; Cyanophyceae; Leptolyngbyales; Leptolyngbyaceae.